GCACUGUUUCGGCUAGGGGGUCAUCCCGACUUACCAACCCGAUGCAAACUACGAAUACCGAAGAAUGUUAUCACGGGAGACACACGGCGGGUGCUAACGUCCGUCGUGAAGAGGGAAACAACCCAGACCGCCAGCUAAGGUCCCAAAGUCAUGGUUAAGUGGGAAACGAUGUGGGAAGGCACAGACAGCCAGGAUGUUGGCUUAGAAGCAGCCAUCAUUUAAAGAAAGCGUAAUAGCUCACUGGUCGAGUCGGCCUGCGCGGAAGAUGUAACGGGGCUAAACCAUGCACCGAAGCUGCGGCAGCGACACUAUGUGUUGUUGGGUAGGGGAGCG
Molecule: ribosomal RNA, 333 nt
Filed under: Klebsiella pneumoniae
Lineage: Bacteria; Pseudomonadati; Pseudomonadota; Gammaproteobacteria; Enterobacterales; Enterobacteriaceae
Also listed under: 1 other name
Description: partial 23S ribosomal RNA
Rfam family: Bacterial large subunit ribosomal RNA
Source: RNAcentral